RNA transcript from Rosa rugosa (rugosa rose), 1278 nucleotides. It is a transcript of the gene named probable LRR receptor-like serine/threonine-protein kinase At5g10290, with no coding region annotated. The record is from RefSeq and is a predicted model, not a curated record. The transcript has 6 exons. Lineage: Eukaryota; Viridiplantae; Streptophyta; Magnoliopsida; Rosales; Rosaceae.
ACUACGUACAGUAUAUACAUAAUUACAUGCACAUGCAUCAUACGCGUGUAUAAUUAAGUCAAGUACAAAUCGAUCAUGUUGGAAUUUACAGGUAUCCAGAAGACAGGUAUGAUCGGGUAUGGUACUCUGGAUAUGGUAUAAAUGCUUACCAGGUGAGUCAAGCUACAUCCAUUGAUGUGAUGAGUGGUGCAGUGGAUGAUCCUCCGGCGGUUGUAUUGCAAAAUGCGACCACCGCGCCCGGCCGUAACACUUCGGAAUAUUAUCAAUUCUUUUCCUACCUACAACAAGACUAUGACGUUCCUGUGUACAUGCAUUACCACCUACUUCUCCGAAGUUCUUCGAUUCACUUCUCCCAGCUACAAACGAUCCUUUCGGAUUUAUGUGGACAACAAUCCUUAUUCCGAAGCAAUAAUUCCGCCUUUCGGUGGUGUAGAGGAGGUGGCUAUUACCAACAUCACUGCUUCUUUAAAAACAGGCUUCUAUCUCAUGCCAACAUCAGAUGCCACUCUCCCUGUUCUUAUCAAUGCCUUUGAAGUUUAUACCGUCAGUGAUCCGUUGUCAUCUGGAACCCAUAUAGCAGAUGGAAUCUCAGUAGCUUCGGUCUUAUCGGUCUACUACCAAAUUUUAGUUCUAUGGAUGCCCUUGUGACGAUUGAUUUGCACGACAAUAGCUUAACUGGUUCUAUUCCUGAAUUUCUUGGCUCUUUCCCGAAUCUAAAGAAACUGGAUUUGUCACACAACAGAUUCAACGGAACCGUACCCCCUUCCUUAUCCGGCAAGAACUUGUCACUGGUUGGAGAGGUUAGCGGUACUCAGGCCAGCUGCAGUUCGAGGUGUUAGUUAAAUGGAGCGGUGAUCCGUGUCUUCCAUCAAAUGAAUCUCAGUACGUGGGAAUGGGUUCAAUAAUGUAGCACAGGCACAAUUCCUCGUAUAAUUGUGAUAGAUCCGAAAGGGAUAUAUAUGCUACACGUACGUAUGUAAUGAAUGCAUGCAGCAGUUGCUACGGUUUGGUUGGUACAUUACAGGAAUCUGAGCAGCUACAGCAGUUCCUACACGUACAUUGCAGGAAUCUGAGCAGCUACGGUUUGGUUGGUACAUUACCAGAUAUCAGUUCCAUGGAUCGAUGCCCUUGUCACCAUUGAUUUGCGCGAUAACGGCUUAGAGGGUCCUAUUCCUGAGUUUCUUGGCCCCUUGUCAGGAGGCCGGAUCACACAAAGCUAGUCCUCCACCAAGCAGUGAGCUAGCUGCAACACAAUUUUAUCUACUAUUUAUGAGUGAG